CGGAGGACUUCAAGGCAGCAGAGCAGGCUCACUCACUCACUGUAAUGUGCACGCAGCUGCAGCACAGCCUCAUUAUACGUAUGUGGAGGCUGGGCUGACUGAACUGUAGGGGGAGCUGCAGAGUCACUUCACCCGGCCAGCUCCUCUCAGGCAGUUCCCAUGGGCCUUUGAGAGUUCAGAGGUCGGGUGAGGAAGUGUUUCUGCAGCAGGUCCGUGUCUGGCAUGCUGGAGGGGGGAUGGCUGAUCGGGCACAUAAAGAUGGGAUCCAGACCCAGCACACAGUCAAGAGCUUUGCCGGUGGUGAGCGAAAACCACACUGUCAGCUCCGAGUCCUGUCCUGCACAAUCACUGAUAGAGACCCACGUGUGACAGACUGAAGAAGUGAGGAGGCACUGUUCAUAUCUGCGUACUUCCACCCCACUGUAUGCUAUUAAUGUUUACCUCCAUUGAUUGCACACCCUGCCGGCAGCAAGCUACACAGUGCACCCCAGAUAGCUGCCUCAGAUGGUUCCUCCGUGGGCAGGGUGUGCUUCAUUUGGAUCUUUCCAUGCAGGGUAUAGCAUACUCCUACACACGUGUCAGUUUUCCCAUACAUGCAUUUGGCCCUUGUAUGGCUCAUCUCCCACAGUGUAACCUUCGUAGUGCGCCCAACAUGGCUGCCUUAUCUGGUGCGCUUGUGGAUGGGAUGAAAAAUAUAUGGACCUGAUGGUUUUGUUGGAACCCUACUCUGAACUUUAGGACUCCGCAAUCUCACCAUUUUAUGUUAUCUCUUCUAGGGGGUGGACUAUUCCACCCUGGGUAAUCCUACGCAGUGCGCCCAAGAUGGCUGCCACAUCUGGUACCUUGUGAGGGUGGAAUACACAACCCUUGGAAGUUAUUACCCAAAAU
This is a long non-coding RNA of Pseudophryne corroboree (corroboree frog), 888 nucleotides long. RefSeq lists it as uncharacterized. Lineage: Eukaryota; Metazoa; Chordata; Amphibia; Anura; Myobatrachidae. The record is from RefSeq and is a predicted model, not a curated record. The transcript has 3 exons.